AAAUCGUGAUGAGAAAGAGAUCUGGAGCGCGUAGAGACACGUAGAGCACGCUCCGUCGGCUCCGCGCCGUGACUAAACACUUUGAUCGCUGACUUUUU
RNAcentral lists this small nucleolar RNA (98 nucleotides) under Bombyx mori (domestic silkworm). RNAcentral describes it as "Bm_13". The record is from RNAcentral. Lineage: Eukaryota; Metazoa; Arthropoda; Insecta; Lepidoptera; Bombycidae.